GUGAGCCAUAUCACAAAGCAAAAGAGCCCCACAUUUGUCAGCAACCUCUCUGAACCUCUUGUAAUCCCAAUCUCUUGGGUAAGCACUUCCUCCACAGAUAAUCAAUUUUGGCCUAAAAUCCAAAGCCUUCUCUUCCAACCUAUCGUAAUCAAUAUACCCAUUUGUCGAAUUCACCUUAUAAGGCAAACUCUCAAAGUAAAUCGAAGUCGCAGAGAUCUUCUUCCCACCAGAUGUAUAAUACCCAUGUGUCAAAUGACCACCAGAAGGCAAAUCCAAUCCCAUAAUCCUAUCAUGUGGGUUCAACACAGCAGUAUAAGCAGCAAAAUUAGCAGGGCUACCAGAAUAAGGCUGAACAUUAACACCCCACUUGGUUGGAUCAAGAUGAAAAGCUUCAAGAGCUCGACUUCUUGUCAGAUUCUCAAUUUGAUCAAUAUAUUCAUUACCACCGUAGUAACGGUUUCCGGGUAUCCCCUCUGAGUAUUUGUUGGUUAAAGCACUGCCAAGUGCUUCAAUUACAGCAAAAGAAGUGAAAUUUUCUGAAGCAAUCAGCUCAAUGCCGCGACAUUGACGGCGUUUUUCCUUCUCAAUGAGAUCAUGGAUCUCAGGAUCGACAGUUGAAAGGGGCUCAUUACCCCAAACUGUAACUGGAUCCAUUGAAGAAAAAUUGAGAGAAAAUUGAGAAGAAAAUGAGAAAUGUAGAGAGAGUUAAA
Molecule: unclassified non-coding RNA, 710 nt
Filed under: Hevea brasiliensis (rubber tree)
Lineage: Eukaryota; Viridiplantae; Streptophyta; Magnoliopsida; Malpighiales; Euphorbiaceae
Source: RNAcentral